GGAUAGCUCAGUUGGUUAGAGCAGGUGAAUGAUACUCAUCGGGUCGCGGGUUCGAUUCCCGCUCCAA
RNAcentral lists this transfer RNA (67 nucleotides) under Bradyrhizobium elkanii. Its description in RNAcentral is "tRNA-Ile". It matches the Rfam family "tRNA", at positions 5 to 66 of the family's 71-position model. Rfam says of the family: Transfer RNA (tRNA) molecules are approximately 80 nucleotides in length. RNAcentral also lists the same sequence under 33 other names. Lineage: Bacteria; Pseudomonadati; Pseudomonadota; Alphaproteobacteria; Hyphomicrobiales; Nitrobacteraceae. The record is from RNAcentral.